This 393-nucleotide ribosomal RNA is filed under the name uncultured bacterium. RNAcentral describes it as "partial 16S ribosomal RNA". It matches the Rfam family "Bacterial small subunit ribosomal RNA", at positions 523 to 918 of the family's 1533-position model. The record is from RNAcentral.
AUACGGAGGAUCCGAGCGUUAUCCGGAUUUAUUGGGUUUAAAGGGAGCGUAGGUGGAUUGUUAAGUCAGUUGUGAAAGUUUGCGGCUCAACCGUAAAAUUGCAGUUGAAACUGGCAGUCUUGAGUACAGUAGAGGUGGGCGGAAUUCGUGGUGUAGCGGUGAAAUGCUUAGAUAUCACGAAGAACUCCGAUCGCGAAGGCAGCUCACUAGACUGUUACUGACACUGAUGCUCGAAAGUGUGGGUAUCAAACAGGAUUAGAUACCCUGGUAGUCCACACAGUAAACGAUGAAUACUCGCUGUUUGCGAUAUACAGUAAGCGGCCAAGCGAAAGCAUUAAGUAUUCCACCUGGGGAGUACGCCGGCAACGGUGAAACUCAAAGGAAUUGGCGGGG